ACACGACUCUCGGCAACGGAUAUCUCGGCUCUCGCAUCGAUGAAGAACGUAGCGAAAUGCGAUACCUGGUGUGAAUUGCAGAAUCCCGUGAACCAUCGAGUCUUUGAACGCAAGUUGCGCCCGAGGCCAUCCGGCCGAGGGCACGCCUGCCUGGGCGUCACGCCA
Molecule: ribosomal RNA, 165 nt
Filed under: Oryza longistaminata (longstamen rice)
Lineage: Eukaryota; Viridiplantae; Streptophyta; Magnoliopsida; Poales; Poaceae
Also listed under: 10 other names
Description: 5.8S ribosomal RNA
Rfam family: 5.8S ribosomal RNA
About the family: 5.8S ribosomal RNA (5.8S rRNA) is a component of the large subunit of the eukaryotic ribosome.
Source: RNAcentral